CAGCUCCAUCCAGCUGAGGAUUCAAUCGUCCAGCUGACUGAUCGAAGUGGAACAGAUCUCUGCUCGCUCGCCUACAAACACACAAGAUGACCAUCGCUGUCUUUAUCAUCUUCAUGGCCACUCUUGCCCUUGUUGAUGGUUUAACUGCUGAACAGUGUAACGGAGGCUUAAAUCGGUUCAACAGCUUUCUUUGCAAGCAUGUCUUCCAGGAUGGUGCCAUUCCAGCAGAUUUGGCUGCCUGGACAGAGUACAGAUAGGUAUGGCCUCUGCAACGACUACACUAGAACUACUCAGUCCUUCACGUCGAGGACCGCCUUUGGAAAGAAGUAUUUCUGUCAACUCAAUACAUGUAGAGGGAUACAAUGUGCCAGUUCCAAUCCCACACACCUUUACAUUGUCAAUGUAUUUUUCUACGCCAAAACCUGCAGGGCUACACAUGUACGCACAGAUGAUGAUUAUGUGAUGGUGGAUUGUGAGUUAGUUGGUGAACAAUGCCUUCCUACCCAUUUUGUUUAUUCUCGCUGGGAUAAUCCAAACUGGAUUCGUCCACCCCCGUGUUGGAGGAGUUAAAACGUUUUUAGAGGGGUUAGAAGACAUUGGAGUCCAGUUCUAAACCUCUGUCAAGCUUAGCUUAAUUAGGCCUUUUUUGCUUACAUGAAAACAUGUUUAUGUGUUCUUAUGCUGCAUUUUAACACCUGUUACUUAUUGACCUAUACUCAUGGGGUAGCAAGUUCGAGUCUGUUAGUGUAUUCUAGAACCCUGAAGGCAGGAGAGACUGAAAAGAGUCAAGGGAAGCUUAUAAAAGUUAACAGCAUUUAAUUACACAAAAGAUGCGGUGGUGUACAAA
This is a long non-coding RNA of Gymnodraco acuticeps, 847 nucleotides long. RefSeq lists it as uncharacterized. The transcript has 3 exons. Lineage: Eukaryota; Metazoa; Chordata; Actinopteri; Perciformes; Bathydraconidae. The record is from RefSeq and is a predicted model, not a curated record.